This 490-nucleotide ribosomal RNA is filed under the name uncultured bacterium. Its description in RNAcentral is "partial 16S ribosomal RNA". It matches the Rfam family "Bacterial small subunit ribosomal RNA", at positions 30 to 507 of the family's 1533-position model. The record is from RNAcentral.
AUUGAACGCUGGCGGCAGGCCUAACACAUGCAAGUCGAACGGUAACAGGAAGCAGCUUGCUGCUUCGCUGACGAGUGGCGGACGGGUGAGUAAUGUCUGGGAAGCUGCCUGAUGGAGGGGGAUAACUACUGGAAACGGUAGCUAAUACCGCAUAAUGUCGCAAGACCAAAGAGGGGGACCUUCGGGCCCCUUGCCAUCGGAUGUGCCCCGAUGGGGUUAGCUUGUUGGUGGGGUAACGGCUCACCAAGGCGACGAUCCCUAGCUGGUCUGAGAGGAUGACCAGCCACACGGGAACUGAGACACGGUCCAGACUCCUACGGGAGGCAGCAGUGGGGAAUAUUGCACAAUGGGCGCAAGCCUGAUGCAGCCAUGCCGCGUGUAUGAAGAAGGCCUUCGGGUUGUAAAGUACUUUCAGCGGGGAGGAAGGGAGUAAAGUUAAUACCUUUGCUCAUUGACGUUACCCGCAGAAGAAGCACCGGCUAACUCCGUG